GGGGGUGUAACUCAGUGGUAGAGUGCCUGCUUUGCAUGCAUGAAGCCCGGGGUUCGAUCCCCCGCUCCUCCA
This 72-nucleotide transfer RNA is filed under the name Glarea lozoyensis 74030. RNAcentral describes it as "tRNA-Ala (TGC) (tRNA-Ala-TGC-1-1)". It matches the Rfam family "tRNA". From Rfam's summary of the family: Transfer RNA (tRNA) molecules are approximately 80 nucleotides in length. Lineage: Eukaryota; Fungi; Ascomycota; Leotiomycetes; Helotiales; Helotiaceae. The record is from RNAcentral. RNAcentral also lists the same sequence under 1 other name.